AGGCCCCGGGCAGGGGUGGGGGAGGGGCCCUGGAGCAGGGCCGGGGAAUGUCUCCGGCCGCCCCUCGGCUCCAGCUCCCGGACCCUUUCGUCGGACGCUCGCGGCCAGCGUACUCGGGGCCGCGCGCAAACCCUGCCCCAUCCCGGGAGCUGCGCAGUGCGUUCACGCCCACCCAGCUCCGGAGGCAGCCGCCCCGCGUGCGUCUCUGGGAGCCGGGUUCCGGGACAGGGGCGCCGGCGGGUGUCCCGUGCCCUCCGCGCCCCCGGCCCGCGCGCGGUGGCCGGCCGAGCGGGGCUUUGUGACGUCAGGCGGCCGGCGGCGUCACGCGCGGGCUGACCCGGCGGCGGCGGCGGCGGCGGCGGCGGCGGCGGCGGCGGCGGCGGGCGGGGCGGCCGGGACGCGGGAGCAUGGAGCCGCGCGCCGGCUGCCGGCUGCCCGUGCGGGUGGAGCAGGUCGUCAAUGGCGCGCUGCUGGUCACUGUGAGCUGCGGGCAGCGCAGCUUCGCCGGGAUCCUGCUGGACUGCACGAAAAAGUCCGGCCUCUUCGGCCUGCCCCCCUCCACUCCACUGCCCCAGGCCGAGGACACCCCUGUCAAUGGCUGCCAGGGCCCAGCCGCCACAGAGGGGGACCCAGAGGCAAUGCAGCUGGGAACAGGCCCCCCGCCGCCUUCCUGCCCUGAGCCGCCCCCGCCCCUGGUGCCGCCGCUGCCCGCUGGAAGCCUGCCCCCCUUCCCGCCAUAUUUUGAAGGCGCCCCCUUCCCGCCCCCACUCUGGCUGAGGAACACCUACCAGCAGUGGGUGCCGCAGCCACCACCCCGGACAAUCAAGAGGACAAAGAGGCGCCUGUCCCGCAACCGUGACCCUGGCCGGCUGGCCCUGAGCCCCAUCUGCCUGCGGCCGCGGCGGGUCCUCUGCGAGAAGUGCAAGAGCACCCUGAGCCCCCCGGAGGCUGGCCCCGCGCCCCCGGCCACCCCCCGGCCUCGCAGGAGGCUGGGCAGUGGCUCCGACCCAGACAGGGAGCUCCGCAAACACGAGGACCCAGAUGGCGGGGGUGAAACCGCGGCCUCGGCCACCACCAGGAGAAGCAAGAGGGAGAGGCGGGAGGAGGACCAGGCUCGGGUCCCACGGAGCCCGGCCAUCAAGAUCUCCUACAGCACACCUCAGGGCAAGGGCGAGGUGGUGGAGAUCCCGUCCCGCGUGCACGGCUCCCUGGAGCCCUUCUGCCCCCCGCAGGCCCUGCACGGCGCCCCGGACCCCGAGGCGGCUCGGGACAGGCCACCUGACGGGCCCUCCGCCUCCAUCCCGAAGCUGAAGCUGACACGGCCCAUGCCCCCCAGUGCUGACCUGCCGCCCCCCAAGAUCCGCCUGAAGCCCCACCGCCUCGGCGCUGGUGAGCAGGAGCCUGUCUAUAGGGCUGAGCUGGUGGAGGAGCUCAACGACCGUGGGCAAGGUGCCCAGGCCAGCUCCCCUGCCCACCCUGCCUCUGGCUCUGCCCACGGUGCCCUGGCGGACUUGUCUUCGGGAAGUUCUGGGGAGGAUGACGACUUCAAAACGUGUCCCCAGGGUAAACACGGGCGGGACAGCCUGGCCUUUCUCGCCAGCUGCUCUGGGAGCAGGACAGACUACGCCCGGGAGUCUCUGUGGAGCAGCGACAGCCUGGACGAGUCCAAAUCGUCCAGCUCAGAAGUCACAUCGCCAGACACAUGUGACCUCUCCUCUGGCGAUGGUGUGUCCGUGCCGUCCACCUCCAAGCGCGCGGGGCAGACGGUUCCGCCCCUGACGGUCAGGCUGCACACGCAGAGCAUCUCCAAGUGCGUGACCGAGGAUGGAAGGACCGUGGCCGUAGGGGACAUCGUGUGGGGUAAGAUUCAUGGUUUCCCUUGGUGGCCAGCACGUGUCCUUGACAUCAAUCUUAGCCAGAAGGAGGACGGGGAGCCCUCUUGGCAAGAAGCGAAAGUCUCGUGGUUUGGUUCUCCAACGACAUCAUUCUUGUCCAUUUCCAAACUCUCCCCUUUCUCUGAAUUUUUCAAACUGAGAUUUAACCGUAAGAAGAAGGGGAUGUAUCGGAAAGCUAUAACAGAGGCCGCCAAUGCCGCGCGACACGUGGCCCCGGAAAUCAGGGAGCUCUUAACCCAGUUUGAAACAUGACUGGGGCUCCCUGGCCAGGUCACCGACGAUGAGGGCAUGGCUGUUCUCCUGGAGCUUCCGACUUCGGGGGUGUCCUCCAUGCCCCCCAUUCCGUCCGAGGGGCCCUGCGUGCCUUCUGGCCGGCUGCGUGCAGAACCACGCCAGGCCCGCGGUGGUCAGCCUGGCGCCGGGCUUCCUGGGAGGAGCAGCGUUAUUGAGAAGAGAGGGAGCUGUGUGUCCACUGGUACCUGUGCCCCCCGAGCUCGGCUGCCCUGUUGAAGGGACCCCGCCCAUGUUGAGAUCUGCCCCCCAAGAGACGGCCACCUGUUCCCAGCGCUGCUGCUCAGGGCGGCAGUGGGUUCCGCCUCCCUCGGGCCCUGUAGGUGACACCGACGUCCCCAGUGGGGCAACAUCUCUGCAAACGGUUUGAUUUCAUGGUGCUCACACCCUGCUUGGCUGUGUGGUCGUCAUUCAUCCCGGGAUCUGGGAGGUCCUAGGGGUUUCGACAAAUGUGCGAUGACGUGUCUCGGCCACCUCAGCAUCACAGGCUGAGCGUCACUGCCCUGGACACCCCCGGACACCGGCUCAUUGAUGUUCUGAGUGAGCAAAGACACGGGGGAUUGCGAAGGACACCAGUUAUCUAUCAUAAUAAAAGGGUAAUAUGCUAAUUAGACCGAAUGUCCUUCCAGGCGUCAUUCCGGACGCCCUUCUGGACGAAGCCGGGGCAGGAGCAAAGCCCAGGUCCUGGGUGCCUAGCGGCAGCCGCUGGAGGGAAGCAGCCCGGUGGCUGGAGCGAAGCCUGGGUCCCGGGUGCCAGAGGGAAGCUGGUGCCAGCAGCCUGGGGAAGGAAGGCCUACUUUUGCACGAAUUUCCGUGCAUCAGGCCUCUAGUUUGGGAAUAAUUAUCAAAGUAUCACGAAGCAGAUGUGUGAAGGGGUGAUGGUGGGCUCCUCCCCACUCCCGUGGUUGGCGGGGGGUGAGUGGAAGUCUGGGGAGUCCCCGGUGGUACAGGAGGUGGGCCACCUGCAUUGCCCACGGGAGGAAAUGCCACUUGGCCCUGAGAGGUCCGUCUCUCUGAAAGGGGCCAUUGUUUCCUGUGCAGGUUCCUGGACUCCCUGGGUAGGGACCCCUGUUCUAGAAAACAGGCCGAAAGCUGGUGCAUCAGAAGAGCGUACCAGUAGGAGUAGAAAGUGUGUUUCCCAAACCAGAGGUGUUGUGGAACCCUCCACGGGCACAGGCAGCCAAGCGGCUCUCAGAUACUCCCUGUGCUCGGCCCGCCUCAGUGAAUUCACGUCUCACUGACAGGAGACCGUUAGCGGGAUUGAUGCCCAUCCUCAUGACAGCACCGGGCUGGCAUUCCAGUGACUCCCUGUGACCCUGAGGGCUGGGAGAGGCCUCAGAGCUGCCAGCGGCCGGGGCCCCAGUGUCCAGCGUGUCGCCAGCGUGUUCCUUAUCACUGGCAGCACAGCUCACGACUCCUCGAGCGCCCUGGUGCGGCGUCACAGUGCUAUGCAAACUCUGCUGUGCUCCAACAAGUGUGCAGAGCACGUGCGGCUGCCCCAGUCCAGGCCCCUCUGGGAAUCCCUCUCCCUCCCCCUCACACCCCUCCCCCCACAGGCGCUGUGCCUAGCCUCUGGCUCCCCCUCCCCUGCUUGGUGCACACAUCCCAUUUUCUGCCCCACUUGUUCUGACCUCCUUCCUCCAGGCCCACAGAUGCCCUCCCUGCCCCCUGGAUCGCAGAGCUCACAGCAGGCACCCUGUCCCUGGCAGUCCCUCCCGGAGUCCCUCCUGCAAGUGGGACACAGGAUUUCCAGGCCAGCCCGUCUCACAGAGGGGCAGGGAGGCUCGGAGGGCCACACGGAUUCUACGCAGAAGCCCUUCUGCAGCCCUGAGCCACGCUGCCCAGAUGGCGUGGUCCAGCACAGUGUCGGGCAUCGGGGGCAGCGACUUGGAGGAUAAAUGUGCUGCAGACACUGCUCUGUGCUGGUCUCCGGCACUUCGGUGGAGAGUGAUUAAGGUAGACUGGUCAGACCUCGGGCCCGCGGCCCACCUGGAGGCAGGACUGUGCAGUGGCAGGCGUGGCAGCCCUGCAGGCACUCCGAGGCCGAGCAUUCGCCUUCACCCCUGCAGCCAGUGAACCAUCGCUUCCCCCUGCACCUUCAGGGCACGGCCUGGCCUCUCUCACCCUCCAGGCCCUGUCUGGCCUCUGUCAGCAUGUGGACACCUGGAUCCACACCCACGGGUGCUUGGGGGCGGAGGGGGACUGGCUGCCAAUGCAGGGUCUUGGAAGUGGUCCCUCAUGUGGCCGUAGUAGAGGCUCAGGUCUUGACCCUGAAGUCCCUGUCCCCACCCUUGUACCAGGCGGGCGAGCAGGACUCCAGCCCUGCCCUUGUCCUCUGCUCUCUCAGCUCUGACUUCAGGACAGCAGGCAUCUCAGGAAGGGGCCGGCUGACCUGUCCCCAGUCCCCUGAUGCCGGCCCCCUCGGCGCACCAGGCACCUCUGCACCCAGCUGUGCCCAACUGCAGCCCAAGUCCCAGGCAGGCUCUGCGGGCUUGUCCGGCACAUGCUGGAGGCCCCUGAGACUCCAAUGCCAGGAUGGUGAAGGCGUUUCCUAGGAAACCACAGCCAGCUGCCAGCAGCCUGUCUGUGGGGGGUGGGGUGUGGCUGAAGCUGGCGUAGGCAGGAGACACCCGGGGGAAGGUGUGUGUCGCUGUCUGUGCCUGUGUGGCAGUGGGGGAUGUGCCAGUGGUGUGUCUGUGAGGGGUCUGUGUGUGUGUGUGUGUGUGGGGGGGGGGUUCUCCUCAUGCCUGGGAGUUCAGCAUGGCCGGUCUCGCCUCCCAGCACCAAUCCUACAGUGUCAGUCAGUGGGCAAGGCUCGCUCACCACUCCCCGCCCACCCCUGGCAGAGGCCUGAACCUUCCUGCAAACUCCCCGAUGCCAAACAACAGUGGGCCAGCCGGCAGCGGUCACUGGGGCGGGCAGGCCUGGGCCAGAGGGUGAGGCCGCAGUGGGCUCCCAGCGGGAAGUGAGGCUGCCUCCAUUUGGGGUGUCCUUGAAGCCCACUGCCCUCAGCUUCCUGUGAGCCUCCCUGUCCCUGCCCUGCCUACUCCUGUGAAGCAGGAGUGAGCCGUCUUGGUGACCCCACAGGGGGACCACGCCCCGGCCUCCUGGCCGAGGAGGAGCUGGCUCCCAUCCAAACAUUUCCUGGCUUUAGUCCUGCAGAUCUGGGAGAUGAAGGGCUCCGGGUCACAGUGGGGUCACCGGCUGAACUGUGAGUGGGUGGGUGGGGGUGCAGGUCACACUGGAGGCCCCCUCGGCCCUCCUCCACCUCCCCUCCAUCUGUGUGUAAAUUAUUGGGCAGCGUAAGGUGCCCCUCACUGCCCGGAAGCUUGAGACCCAGCGAGGAGGCGAGACCAGAGCGACCUGCCCCGUGGGCCCCCUCAGAUCCUGGACCAACCUGCACUGGGGUCUGUGGGUGUGCAGGGCUCGUCUGGGAGACCCAGGAGCUCUGGGGGCCCCUCCCCCGGCCUCUGCCAAGGCUCAGGUGGGGUCGGGACACAGCAGGGUUGUGGGGGUGCCCGGCUUCCAUGAGCCAUCAAGGACAGAAUCAUCCUCAGCGCAUGCCCUUUCCAGUCCUGGGACCAUCCACAGAGGCUCAGCGACCCCCAGCCUCCUGGGGCCCCAGCAGAGGGGCCGGCAUUGCUUGUGGGGAGCCCGUUGUCUCUCCUGGGGGCGCUAUGCAGCCCAAGGCAGGGCACAGUCUCACGUUGCCUGGGAACCUGGGAGGCAAUGAGCACCCCCCAAGCCUACCCCUCCCUCCUUCCCUCCCUUCCUCCCAUGUGGACCCAGGAGCAGCCUGUGGACGCAGUCAGUCCUGGAGAGAGAGAUGCAUGUGGGUCCCGUGUAUAGGCUUUUGUCUUUGCUGAUUGGGAUAUGUCUGCUCUAGAGGCAGAUACAAGAAUUCCAGCAUGCAGAACUCACACUUAACAUUUCAAAUAAGCGUGUUUUCUCCUUUAAGUUAACAUUGGGUAAAGACAAACAAGAUGGCAACCCCAUGCUGACUAGAAAGAAUAAGGAAGGUGGAGUCUUCACUAGCAGAGCCUCCACCUGGGGAGAGAGAGGGAGGCAGCUGGGCCUGGUGGCCAAGCAGUGGGGGAGGGGUCCUCACGUCUGCAGGCCUGGGGGCAGGGAGGCUGUGUGCUGGACCGGAGCUGACUGAGCCCUGAGCCACCGCCCGGGGUGGGGUGUGGCAGCCCUGAGGAUGGGCCCUGGGAGGUGUGGCCAGAGGGUCUAGCUGCCUAGCAGCUCCCCCGGAAAGGCCCCAGGUGGAGAUACUAGAUAAGCUGCUGGGACUGGUACAGCCAGCCAGGCCUCCAGGGGACAGACAGCCCACAGCUCCAGGCAGCCAUGCGUUCCCUCUGGGACUCACGGCAGGGCCCACCUCCUUCUCUCACUGCCACCCUUCCUGCCACCCAGCCCCCACCGAAUGGGCUCACAAGUGGGGGUGGCCCUGGCCCUGGUCAGCCUGGGAGUCCAGGCAGUCGAGUGAAGGUGGGCACCAGGGCAAGGCAGGCAGGGGGAGGGGGGACCCCCAGGUCCUGAUCCCCUCCCCAGGAAGGAGGCUGGCUGG
Molecule: RNA transcript, 6756 nt
Organism: Myotis myotis
Lineage: Eukaryota; Metazoa; Chordata; Mammalia; Chiroptera; Vespertilionidae
Gene: PWWP2B
Gene name: PWWP domain containing 2B
Exons: 6
Source: RefSeq, a predicted model, not a curated record